This is a long non-coding RNA of Phymastichus coffea, 544 nucleotides long. RefSeq lists it as uncharacterized. The record is from RefSeq and is a predicted model, not a curated record. The transcript is spliced from 3 exons. NCBI's taxonomy places the organism in Eukaryota, Metazoa, Arthropoda, Insecta, Hymenoptera, Eulophidae.
UGGUGAGAGCGGAAGAGAGGUCAUACAGUCACUGCCAUUGAUACUAUCGGUGCUGUAUAAUAUCUAAUCGCCAUCUACUAUUCGCUGGAAUUUAUUCAAUACUUUUAACCAUCGAUGGGUGUCAAAAAUUGUUCGUUCACGAGACGAAAAGCGUGUUCUUAGUGUCAAGUGUGUUUUAGUGACGUAAAAGACGAAAGACGUGUACGUACAUAUAAUAAAUAAUAUUAUAAAUAAUACAAGUGAGAGAACAGGCAAUAAAGUGGAUGCGAGAGUCCUUUAGCUGUUAUUUAAGAGCACGAGGAUAUGUAAAUGCUCGAAGAGUCAAAUUUUACGUGAUCCCGUUCACAUUUUUAAAGAGUAGAAAAAAGCGAAUGGAUACAAGUUUGUUUCUGUAUUUGCAUCAAAGUGAAAAAAGUCUAGGUUUUUAUUCAUAUAAAUUUUACCAAACCAAACCACUUAGCAGCUAGGAAACCAGCAGACAACGAGUGCAAAAUAUAAUUGAGACGAUAGUGAAGUGUGUAUUUUUAUUUAUGUUUGAAUUAAA